UACGUAGGGGGCAAGCGUUGUCCGGAAUUAUUGGGCGUAAAGAGCGUGUAGGCGGCCAGACAGGUCUGUUGUGAAAACUAGAGGCUUAACCUCUAGACGUCGACAGAAACCGUUUGGCUAGAGUCCGGAAGAGGAGAGUGGAAUUCCUGGUGUAGCGGUGAAAUGCGCAGAUAUCAGGAAGAACACCAAUGGCAAAGGCAGCUCUCUGGGACGGUACUGACGCUGAGACGCGAAAGCGUGGGGAGCGAACAGG
RNAcentral lists this ribosomal RNA (253 nucleotides) under uncultured bacterium. RNAcentral's name for it is "partial 16S ribosomal RNA". It matches the Rfam family "Bacterial small subunit ribosomal RNA", at positions 524 to 776 of the family's 1533-position model. The record is from RNAcentral.